Molecule: ribosomal RNA, 321 nt
Filed under: uncultured eukaryote
Lineage: Eukaryota
Description: partial 18S ribosomal RNA
Rfam family: Eukaryotic small subunit ribosomal RNA
Source: RNAcentral
CCCUUAGAUGUUCUGGGCCGCACGCGCGCUACACUGAAGCGUUCAACGAGUAUUCACCUUGCCCGGGAGGGUUGGGUAAUCUUUUGAAAACGCUUCGUGAUGGGGAUAGAUUAUUGCAAUUAUUAAUCUUCAACGAGGAAUUCCUAGUAAGCGCGAGUCAUCAGCUCGUGCUGAUUACGUCCCUGCCCUUUGUACACACCGCCCGUCGCACCUACCGAUUGAAUGGUCCGGUGAAAUCUCGGGACGGCGGCUUGGUCGCUUGCGUCCGACUGCUGAAACUUGAUUAAACCAUAUCAUUUAGAGGAAGGUGAAGUCGUAACA